RNAcentral lists this ribosomal RNA (639 nucleotides) under Thraustochytriidae sp. strain H42. RNAcentral's name for it is "bacterial SSU rRNA". It matches the Rfam family "Eukaryotic small subunit ribosomal RNA", at positions 581 to 1211 of the family's 1831-position model. The record is from RNAcentral. Lineage: Eukaryota; Bigyra; Thraustochytrida; Thraustochytriidae.
AAAGGGGGCUCCAGAAAGCAACGCGAUGCUGGAGAUUUUUGCAGUUAAAAAGCUCGUAGUUGCAUUUCUGGAUGUGAGGUUAGUGACCGUGGGCUUGGAUGAAUGUUCCGUCGCUUUCUACGUGUCGAGCUAGCCAUCCUGAACUGUCGCAUUCUGAUUAAACGUGGCGCGGCUCGAAUUACUGUAAACAAAAUAUAGUGUUCAAAGCAGGCCAUUAAGGAGCCGGAUAUUUCUCAUGGGAUAAUAACAUACGACUGGGGCGCUAUGCUGCUGGAUUUGUACAUGUCACAGAUGAUGAAUAUGGACAGAUGGGGGAAUUCGUAUAGAGCAGCUACAGGCGAAAUUCUGGGAAUUGCGAAAGACAAAAUACUGCGUGGGCAUUUACCAGGGGGGGUUUGCUCAACUCACAAACGAAAGUUAGAGGAUCGCAGAUGAAAAGAUACCAUCUCAGGGAUAAAAGUAAAGGAGGCCUACGCGCUAUUGUCCGACGCUUGUUUUAGACUUGGACAGCAGCGCAUGAGAAAUCAAAGUCUUUGGGUUCCGGGGGGAGAAUAGACGCAAUGCUGAAACUUAAAGAAACUCACCGAAGGCCCCCCCGCUGGGCUGCAGACAGCGGCUUAAUUUGAUUCACCACGGGAA